UAUAUAAGAUCAUAAUCAUCUCAGACGCAAUCAUCUGAAUCUAAAUUAUCACACGCAUCACCAUUUGCCACUCAGGAGACGGAAAGAAUGAGAUUUGCAUUGGUCUUUAUCGUUGUUCUGCUUGUGGUACUCUUGGCCGACCCGGGUUCGAGUAAAAAGAGAAAGUCCAGUAAAUCCAAAGGUUCUGGGAUAUCAGGUUCAAAAUCCAAGAGUCCAAGCAAGUACUCAAAAAAGAAAUACUCUUCAGGCAGUAAAUGGUCUAACAAUGGAAGAGUCAAGAAGAACCAAAGUAGGCAAAACUCAAAUCAUAAAGGUAAAAGAAACAAAAACAGGAAGAACAAAAGAAACUCAUUCACCAAUGCACUAAGGAGGAAUGCCAUCUCUUACGUAGAGGAAAGGCUCGCUCAACCACCUCCGUUCCAAAUGGAUGCCGGAGGAAAUGCGUACGAAGGGCCGGGCUCUGCUGAGUACGAACAAGGCGAUCCUGAGGGUUUUUUUUAGUUCUUCAUAGGGUAGCGGUUCUGUCACCUGCCCUGAUGGGAACACUUGAGGGGUAGGGAGUGCGGUGGCAUACCCCUAUCCAACCGGCUAGAUGCUUAUGUUUUAAUCCAAUAAAAUGAGGGUUUUGAUCUGAAACGUUUUUCCUUUGAUGUCUCAAUAAUAAUAAAUAACAAUUCUUUCUCGCUCCUGCACAUGUAUUUCAUUGUUUGUUGUAUUUGUAUUUUAAUGCUUUUAUUGAACUAUUUCAUUGUGCUCAAUUGGAAUUGUGCAGUAAAUUAACCAAAUUAAAUAAAGGAUGUUAACCCUUUUAAUGUGAAAGACAAGAAACUGGCGCUUUCCUUUUAUUUCGGCGCUCCAUCGACUCAAUGAGCUUUGGCGCCGCUUGCGAUCCUUUGGACAUGGCACCCGGGUGCUUGUUCUUUAUGUACUACAGCAUAUUGCUAGUAUUCCCUCAAAGUAGCCGGUGUGGUCAUUACACUUCAGGGUCCAAAUUGAGCCACAAAACAACAAGGGGGGACAGUGAACACAGCUUGCAUGGUGUGAGCUGAUUAGAGCAGAGGCUGAAACCACAAUCAGUCGGUACUGUAUGAUCAUGUACGGUAAUGCCACCCCUACAUUUAAUAUUGAGUCAUACCGCACACACAUUGCAAGACUGCAAAGUCAGAUGAGGGCCCGCCCGCCUCGAAAGAGACUAUAAAACAGAAGUGUCAGGGCCUCUCUUGACCUAACUCUACAUCGGCCCCCCCAUUGAAAUCAAGAAUGAGGUUUGCAGUGGUCUUUGUGGUUGUUUUGCUUGUGGUUCUCUUUGCUGACCAAGGAUUGAGUAAAAAAGCUAAAAAGAAUUCCAAAGGUUAUGGGAUUCUACCAGGUUCAAAAUCCAAGAGUCUAAGCAAGUUUAACUCAAAAAAAAAACAGUCUUCAGGCAGUAAAUGGAGUGCCAAGGGAAAAGUCAAGAAAAGCAAAAGUA
Gadus chalcogrammus (walleye pollock) is the source of this 1468-nucleotide RNA transcript. It is a transcript of the gene named myristoylated alanine-rich C-kinase substrate-like, with no coding region annotated. Lineage: Eukaryota; Metazoa; Chordata; Actinopteri; Gadiformes; Gadidae. The transcript has 11 exons. The record is from RefSeq and is a predicted model, not a curated record.